This 253-nucleotide ribosomal RNA is filed under the name uncultured bacterium. Its description in RNAcentral is "partial 16S ribosomal RNA". It matches the Rfam family "Bacterial small subunit ribosomal RNA", at positions 524 to 776 of the family's 1533-position model. The record is from RNAcentral.
GACGAACUGUCCUAACGUUGUUCGGAAUCACUGGGCUUAAAGGGCGCGUAGGCGGUCCAUCAAGUCAGGGGUGAAAUCCUGCAGCUUAACUGUAGAAGUGCCUUUGAUACUGAUGGUCUGGAGGGAGAUAGGGGUGUGUGGAACUUCCAGUGGAGCGGUGAAAUGCGUUGAUAUUGGAAGGAACGCCGGAGGCGAAAGCGACGCACUGGAUCUCUUCUGACGCUGAGGCGCGAAAGCUAGGGGAGCAAACGGG